Molecule: RNA transcript, 17003 nt
Organism: Monomorium pharaonis (pharaoh ant)
Lineage: Eukaryota; Metazoa; Arthropoda; Insecta; Hymenoptera; Formicidae
Exons: 4
Source: RefSeq, a predicted model, not a curated record
GAUAAUUAUGAGCCUAACUUUUACAUUAUUUUUAAAUAGAUUACAAAUUAUAAAAUUAUAAAGUUUUUAAAAGUGAAAUCCGGGUGACGUCUGCGUGGAUAACGUUCAGCAUAUUGCACAGCAACUGUAGCCUGAUUACUACACUGACCAAGAAUCAGAAUCGUGUCACAAUAUUCUUCGCUCGUGUAUUCUAUACGCGACGUUUCCUAUACUUCUACAUAUACACAAUACAUCUUUCUUUCGGCAAUGCGUAACAAUCGUGCGAGAUGAUCGUCUUCUCUCAAUUGUCUUUCACUCUACAUAUGUAUGUAUUUGGUUGGGAGUAUUUGGUCAAGACUUCAAAAGGAUGUUGCGGGGCUACCCAUUUGAAAUCCUUUUUCGAUCAAUGGCACCGCGCCGCGCCGCACCGCACGAAUCAGAACCUCAAACGACCGCGGUUUCGGUCGGGACUGUCGGGGCCCCAAAGGACCUAACUGUUUCGACCCGGGCGGCAACGUCGUGUAUCGUCUCUUCGACUCUCGUAGCUCCGAUUCGCACAUCACCGAUCCCUCGAAGACUCCAUUCCGCGGCACGAUUCCGACGAGGUACCGUAACCUCCCGCGAGUGCAUUUCCAUAUCCAUGACUGCACCGUAACGUUCGCUCGUCGAGAACCACGUUGGAGAUCGCAACGGCACUGUGACGUUUCCGAGCGGUUUCCUUAACCGCCGAGCUGAGAAAACCUCUCUCGCGACGCCCGACUUGCACGGCAAAGCAGGCAUCCCUGUCUCUUUCUCUCUCUCUCUCUCUUCGCGUAUGUUUCUCGCUCCUCUCUUCAUCUCUUCCUUGCUUCGCAUUUUCUCCCUGGGGCUCUUGGGCUGCGUUUCGCAUUCCUCGAACGCUCUAAGCGCCUCGAUUCGAGUCAUCGCCGAGAAGCGCCGUGACCCUGCCCGAGACUGCAUUUCCAUACCGCCGCGCGGCUUCGAUUCGAGUCCGCGAUGAACCGCGACAUACCGAACACGCAUACACACAGCGGCAUUAAGAUAUCCAUCGGGCGGGCCUUUUUCUCGCGGCCGAGAGCGUCCCGGCCCCCGGGGGUCAUGGCCCGUUCACGGUCGUGAGACACCCCACAAAGACGGCGCGCGUGGACGCGUCGUCUCCGUCGGGCUCCAGCGCUAUCAUCAAUUGUUUUGCCUUCGGUCCGUGCACCGUUCCUUCACCCCGAUCUGUCUCCGUUCUCUCGUCCUCUCGCUCGCGCGCUGACAACUCCGGGAGAAACGCGAGAUUUCAAUGGGCAUUUCUCAGCCGGCGUCACAGAGACGUCAGUAAAUAUAAUACAUAGUACGAUCCCACGUCUCGCGCUGGACAGAAGGGUCCAGAGAAGAUGAGAAAAUCGCGGGAUCGAGGCGAAGGACAGCAGACGACGUCCCACACGUUCAUGUUGUCAUAUAACGAUCGUAGCUGUUCCUCUUUCAAUCCUGCGGACGCAUCGUUGUUUGGGGUCCUCCUCCUAUCGUCGGAUUCCAUCUGCGUUCUUUAACGCGCGCGUCAAUGAUAAUUCUCGUCCAUCGCCGUUAACGGCCCGGGAAAUAGGUUGCGUGAUGCGAAAGUGAAAGCAAACGAUGCGACAGAUGCGUGAGAAGAGAAAUUUGUCAUUUAACUUUGCGGUUACACGCGAUUGUUCAUCGAUAUUUUGCGACGUCCUACUGCAUGUUACUUUAUUGCUCAUUUGCAUACCCCGAGAUGACGGUAGUAAAGUUUUUUAGUUAUUUAAUCGCCAUUUAAUCAGCGGUGAUAUUAGUGAUUUACAUAAUGCUUCCGUAAUUACCAUAGGACACACAUAAGUACGUAACAUAAUAAACAAUUGUAAUAAGGAAACUCCAGCUUGUGUUUUGUACAACGUAUUAUAUAGCGAAGCUGCACACUGAGAAAAAGAUACUUAAAAAUUUAUUUUUGGAAUUAAAUUUAUUUUACAAAAAUGAAUCUUUAUUUACAUGGCAAAAUAUAAUUUUAUUUCUAACAAACAAAUCAGUUGAUAAGAAUAAUGAUAUAUUUUACAGAAAUAUGUACUGACUUGUGGGAAGACGAUUCUUAUUUACAUCAUUUGAUAUUAAAUUUAUGAUUUGAUGCAAUACAUUUAUUAGUAGUUUAUUAGUCAGCCCAUUUAAAUAUAACAUUGUGAAAUUAUGUAAAUAAUUUUACACAGACAUUAUAAAUUUUUUUAUUUGCUUUUAUAUAACCUGGAGAGUUAUAUUAUUCUCUCCGAGAAAGAGUACGGAUAUACAAAAUUGAUAUCUCUACAUGCUACAUGUAUUGUAGAGUACGAACAUAAAAUUCCUGAGAGAAAAUCUCUCUCAGGUAUUCCAGGAAUAUUCAUUUAGACUUUAAACGACUUUAUAGCCUCUUAAAAUCACGUCGCGCGCCACAGAAAUCAGACUUUAUCGGGCGUAAUUGAGACGUAUCGUACAUCGUGGCGCGAGAUUUUCGGAAUUUACUCUCAGCAUCGGCGAUACAGCGUGAUAAAUGCGCUCGUGUAUUACAACCAAAACUCGAUCUAGAUACAAGCCUUUCCUUCUCAUCAACAAGUGCGUGAUUGUCGUGUACGCGGCGCGCGUGUAUCCUCCGCGUGUGCGACAUGACGCAUUAUAUAUGUUACACAGCGCUGGUCGAGAGCCAACCAAAAUCGCUGUUUUUAUCUUUUGCAUUAGCAAAAGCCCAUAAAUAUCUGUUAAGGUGUUAAGUUACUCGUGGUACACGUAGAGCUCCGUUUCACGGCCUCGUGAUGCACGCCCGUGUGCCCGAGGAGGCACAGGGUAUAUCUGUGUAUAUGCGCGUGUGCGUGUGGCAGAUCACGAAUGGUAUAUCGCGAAUGUAGAUAUAUAGCGUCCGCUAAUCUGCAGUGGCAUCGAUGGUAGCCCGAAAGUCGAUUCGUCGAGGCUCGUAAUUUGUCGCGCUCGAGAUAACGCACGAAAGAACGUUAUUGUGUGCACUUUUAAUGGCUCAAGACACUUCCGGUUAUCGAGAGAAUUGUCUGACAGCAAUUUGAGACUUUUGCUUGAUAUCCUUUUUCGGGAUUUGUCUUGUUAUAUAAAAAUCUGCUUCAGAAAAAAAAAUAUUAAAGACGUAUCCAUAAAUCUUUUGAAAUUCAGAAUUAUUGGCAUUCAACCAGCUGCAGUUGGCCGUAACUAAACGAGACUCUCGAUGACCACUGGAUGUAUUUAGUAACGUCGGAAUCGCGUUCAUAAAUUCGCCAUGAGGGAACCGCAAAGUUGUUUGGGACUUCCUCCCUGCACGUGAAUCCGACGGAUUCGGUAAACGGAUACCAGGCAGAUCUCCUCCGCUCACCGGCCAUAGUCCCGCGAUUAUCUUCGCCUUCCUGCCAUAGAUCUCUCGUCGUGGCGGCCGUCCCGCACCGUUAUCUGUGAUGCUCUGUUAUCUUGUAUCAUCUAGCCACGGCUGUAUCGCUCUAAAGGUUAUGAGCUCGUGAAGCGGGUGCGCGCUUCUAACGCUAUCAACCCGCGGCUUGAUGUUAUCGAUGCCGCUAUGAUUAUUAUUACAAUCAUCGCGCUACUGUAACAUACCACGGCGAAUUAUUUUUAUCGGCAGACGCUCGUUUACCACCGCGAAACAAAUACACCACCGCUUCGCAUCCGAAGGAAAUAGCCGCAUCAACGGCACCCUUCGAUCAGCUACAAAAUGGAAAAGAUUCAAAAUGUCAGCAAGCAAAUGUCAUUUUCUUUGAUAUUUAUUUAAAAAAAAUAAUGUAAUGACAAGAUAUAUAUUUUCUUGACAUCCUGUUCAUCAAAAUUAAAAGAGAAGGGUUUAACAAGGGUCCAUAAAUUAUUCCCGACAAUUAUUACUGCACGGAGAAAAUUUUAUAGUAAAAAUUACUAUGUACGAUAUAGUAGCUACAAAUCAUAAGAAGAAAUUUUGGAGAAUUAUAUUGUAAGUAGCGUAAAUAUUGCGGUAAUUUAAUGAAAAACAUAGUAAAAAUUUGUAUAAUUGUUUUUUUGGUCCGCACUUACAAUUCACCAUUGCAAUUUUUACUAUAAAAUGUUUUCCUUGUCAAUGGAUUUGACGCGUUUAUUGUAAGCAGAAUUAAAAUAAAAAUUUUAGUGAGAAGAUUAGUUUUCGCUCAAAACAAACUCUUCGGGACUGUUAACUCUUCAAAAGAAAACGGAGACAGAGUAUAUAUUAGGUAUUUUAUUAUUCUAGAAAGAGUCUUUGAAAUUCGUCCUCGUAAGUGUGGCGCAAAGACCGCGACGAAGAUGUAGACGUAGAUGAUAUUGAGAUCGGUUUCAUUGAUCGAGCUGACGAAGAUGAUGGUGACGGUACACACAGUGAAUGCUGUGGAGAUGACAAUGUGGGCGGUGCGCGCCGUUGGAGCAAUCUGAUUGAAUUAACAAUCGAUCGAGGCAUCUUUUUCAAAAGCGUUAAUGUCAAAAGCGCAAUCGCUUCUGUUGGAUGCGGAUGACUUCACGUACGAUUCUUCUCGAUGUAGAUCCCUACAUUAAAAAAAAAAAAAAGAGUAAAAAAGCGAUGCCUUUUGGUUGACAACCGACAUUGCUCGCCUCCGCGGCGAACACGCGGAGCAAUUUCAUUUGCACGUACGCGGGUCGAAACACGUCCGACUGCGCGCGUGUAUGCGGUCCAUUCGAGUUCUCGCACCAUUCCGCAUCCCCGUGGUUACUCGAGGUGGCAACGUCUAAUUAUCCUGAGGAAAGUUCAUCCUCCAAUUAUAGCAGGCCGCCGCCACUUCGGCAUUGUUACGGAUUCUUCGUUGUUACGUUAUUAUUACGGACAACCCGCGCCGGGUUUCUUGACUGACACGUUACACGCGCAUUUACUCCUCGAUAACGCGAUGGUAUUUCUAUGAUGAAAAGCAACGCGGCAUCAUAUCGUUGCACGGGGCCGGUGAUGGUCGCCGGGGCGUUGCGUGCUUAUCGCACUCACGGCGCGUUUCUGAUUCUCUAUGGAAUUAUUAGGUUCGCUUAACACCUCUGACACGUCCCACUCUUCAUGCGUGGGUGAGGAAAAUGAAAUUAUCACGUCUGUCCGUUUGACGGAGGGUAGAACCCCAUUAUUACAGCGCCUGUGCGCGAGGAUCACUCAGCGGAGCGUAUUUAAGCGGCGCAACGUAGAGGCGAAACUCGUUGACGCCGAAAUUCAUAAGGAUCGCCUCGAAAAAGUGCGGAAUUUAUUUUUAAUAUAAAACGAAUAUGCGAAAGCCGAAGAGAGCGCGGUGUAAUUUUCACGAGGGAUAGAUCUUAAUUCUGAAAGGAAACGGUACAGCCUCAGCUUCCCGUGCUGCUUUAUCCCAUCCAGUCUCGUCUCAACGUCACAUUUAUUUUCCACGCUACACUUGCGCGUACACACGUUAUAUUGUAUAUAAAGAACAUUAUUGACCGCGUGUAAUUCCAUAACACUCGUUAACGAACCAAUCUCGUCUGCCGAUCGGUAUCUAAAUUGGAACGUAUCGGCCGCUCCAAGUCGCAGCGUCGCGCGAAUAAUGCGGCAACAUUACUCGCUGAUUGUCGCGCUUUUUCGCGAUCCCCGCCGGAUUAUAUUCGUAUCGUUCGCCCGUCGACACGCCGAUUAAGGGCCGCAUCUCGUUUUCGCACGAUUAGCGCCCGCGUCCGCCGGACGCGAUCGAUUCUAUCUCGAUUUCGCGAUCUCCCGCAGGCAUUAACCACGAACGACGAGUGGAUUAGGUCCUCGAGGAGCAAACCCCUUCUCUCUCGCGUUGUUCAACGACGCAAACACGCGCGCCCGCAAGAAGAGGAGUCCGCGCGGACGCGCAAUCGCCGCCUCGAACGCGGGCAAAAGAAAACAGACGCGGGUACAAGACGUAAGCGUAUCAAUAAAAUGUUUAAUUGGCAUUUACAUUUCUUCAUUCGACCCAACAAGAUCGUGAUACGGAUCUUCCGCUCGCUUUCUCGUGCGGGUACCUUCGUCCUUCCAAGCGCAAUACGAUCCGAACGUCAGCUUGAAUGUCCGAGGUAACCGGCUGACAAGGCAGACGCGGGAUGAGAGAAUGGGAGAGAAUCGGUAAAGGAGGGAGGGGGGGGGGAGCGAAUUUACACGGUUUUCUUUCGACCGACUAACUCAUCAGAAGAAAAGUGGAACCUGUUUCCACAAAAAUGAUCAUUCGCUCUUGACGAUGAAAACAGCAUCUUUAUUUUUCAGGAACACACUUCAAUGAUCGGUCAGCAAAAAUAAAGUACGAAAAGCGCUUCAUUGUGAAUGACUCGGUAGAAUUUCUUAUUUAUAGAAGUCACGUUUGCAGACGUAUUGUUGAGGGAGAUCAGCUUGAAACUUUUAUCUUUGCCAUUGGUACACCCUUACGUCUUUAUUCGUAAAAGAGCCUGUUUAGAUCUUAUUGUAUGGACAAAUUUGUAUUGUAUUUUUCUAUUAAUAACGUUCUAAAGUGAAUUCAAUAAAUGGUAGAAAGGUGAAUAUGUGAAAUUAAUUUGAAUUAGAUGUAUAUCUAAUAAUCACAAAUAUUUAGAAUGGCAAUAUAUUAAACGUAUAUUAUUAUUAAGAACACGAAAAGAAAUUUAUAAUUCCGACAAUCAUCCGCAGACGUUUAAUGCUUGUGAUGAAAUCUUAAACCCUAUCACUUAAUUUCUAAAUUUACGGUAUUAUUUGCUCAAGAUGAUUGAAAUUUAUAUAAACGCGAAUAGCUAUAAUACUAUAAUAAUCCAGUGUUUUAUCUUUAAGACUUAUAACGCGAUUAUAAAAUUUAGUAUGUGAUAAAAAAUUUGGUAUUUUAAGAAUACAGUUAUAGUAACUUUCUAAAAAAUAUUAUUGCACUUAAAAUUACUUUAAAUAUUUUUAACUAUUUUAGCGAGAAAGGCAGCUCGCACCAAUCAAAUUUAACAGUUAAAAUGCUCUUGCGUUUUUUAAAUGUAAAAAGUGCUAAUCGUUAUUUGUGAUGAAAGAAUAUAAUAAUUCUAGACCGAUUUUGUUCAUCAAACAUCGGAGUGUAAGAAAUAAAUAAAUGAACAACUGAAGAGUACAGAGAAAAACAGGAGAGGAUCGAAGAAAGAGAUGAGGGAAAAAAGAUAGAGGCGAAAAGCAGCUAGCUUUCUUCGUCAUCGCGUUAUGUUUUUCUUCUUUCUUCUCUUCUCCCUCAUCGUCGCCGUCUCCGUCGUCGUUUUCAUCGUUGGUGGGGGAAGAACGGAGACAUCAAAGAAGGCGACAUAUCCGUUCACACUCGGCACUCAUAUACGUUCCCUUCUGUUCCCGAGUUGCUCGCUCGUGGACCGUGUCGUCGCGAUGGUAUGCGUAUGCACGCCUGCACGCACGUACGCACACACGCUUUCGACUCGCGGAGAAUAUGGGUAACUCCGGUCGGCUGCAGGUCCGCGAAUAACACGUGACUACCAUAAUGCGGCUGAAGGCGUCUUAAUAAAAUGAACUUGUCAUUCCGAAACAGCUAACCAGCCUUCGGUCCAACCACCUCUAUCUCGCCGCCAGACUCCUGAACGCGUCCUUUCCUCUUCUAACCAUCCUCCUUCCUCGUCCCUUCGUGAACCCUACUCAAAGUCUUUCCAGCUUUCUCCAUCUCGGGUCCUCCACGCCCUUCGGUUUUAUUUAUACCUCGUUAAAUUAGCGCCGAUCGUCGAUCCGUCGUGCGAAGAGCUCAUAGGAUCAUACCGUUCAUCCUGCUUGUCCUUUUCGUUUGGAGACACCUUGUCGCGUUCCGCAUGUCUCAUCCUGUCGGCGAUGGUGUCGAUGUUGUAUCGACGUGUUGAGCGAUCGGCAUUUUAGAUUACUGAAUAAAUAUCUCGUGUGUUGUUAUAACGUGACGUUCUUAAUGGAUAGCGAUUUCUGUCGUUAAUAACGGGCGCAUAAUUGAAUUGACUAAAGUAAAAUUAUAAAUUAUUCUAAGAUUUUUUAUUUUCUGAUUAUACAAUUUUUUUAGCAGAAAAUAAUUAAAUAGUUAAACGAGAUGUAAAGGCGUAAAUAAAAAUUGAGAACUUUUAUGAUAGUGAUAACUAUAUACUCGUGAAAAAUAAAAAAUAAAUCGAAAUAUAAUAGUUUGUUAUCAUCGUUAUCACAGCCGUGAAAAUCGGGAAGGAUUAUAUUCGUGCGACUGUUUGAAAUUUUUAUUCGUGCGAUAUAACAACAAGUCAUAAGGCCCACAGGCCUAAGAAGGGGAGGGGGUGAGCAGAAAGAGUGAUGGGUACAUCACGGUGGCCGCGGAGAAAGGGCAGCCACCCGGAAAAGGGCAACGGAGCACUUGAAAUGAAAGGGCGAAUGGAUGCGCCUAGGUAAGCGCGCAAGAGACACGUAAAGGCAUUCAUCUCAUUCAAGGUAGGCCUUAAGUCUCUGAUCAGAUAACGAAUGUACACUCUUCUCGUGGCGGUGAAACUCCGCCGAGGCGACGUUCUCUCGCUCUUUCUGCGCGUACUUCGCGUGGCGUUUCUCUUUUUCUCAUUCCCGCCGUUUACCUUCUACUAUUCACUUCUGCAUUUCUCUCUUCUACAUCCAGCUGGUACGGUCGCGUCCAGUUUUCUUCGACAUCGCGUGUCUUCAAAAACUUCUAUAGCAACCCGCGGUGCGCAAAAGCGAGGACGAAAGUGAUAUUUGCCGACGGAAUUUAAUCUCAAAAGAUCCUUUUCUAAUUUCUUUGGAACGAAAAAAUCUAAAUGAAGCCGUUUUUAUCGCCGCUAUUUUAUCGGAGAAAUUAAAGGAAGCGCGUUUAAGCGUGUAAUGCAACAAACGUGCUACAUGGAAGUGCCCGCUAAUAACGAACUUUGAUUGCGACGACGUCGAGUAACAACGAUGGUGAUGGCCAACGGCACGAUACGCGGGCAUCUGAGAGAAUCUAUUUAUCGGCUGAUUUAUAGUAUAAUUAUCCGAUCGACGAUUGCGCGAGCUCUGGGCGAUGGGAAAGAUAGUCACCGUCAACGCGAGAUGCCGAACGUUUCUAUCGUGGCGAAUCAUGCAGCCUGGGAAAUACCAAUCGAAUCGGACCUCCUGUUCAAAGCGCAUUCCAUAAGUUCUGAAUUUACGCGCGUGCGCGAGAUCGUUCCAUACUGUUUGUCCCGUCGACGAGGAUGGGGCCGACUCCGCAGACGAUAGUCGGUGAUUUAUUUGGAGUAUUUGUUCGGGGAAAACGGAGUACUCGCGGAAGAGAGACGAGCGACAACCGCAAAACGACGCGGCGACAGCAAAACAAACGAUUUCCAAGCGGCUGCCACUUCGGGGACGCCCCCGAAUUUCUUAUACGGAUGGUAGGUCAAGGGUCGUGGUUUGGUAGGAAGACAAAGUUGCGUCUACGCGAUUUCCGAGAUUCGCGAAACUACUUUUAUCGCGAUUGACAAUUGGUCUUUUCUGUCGCUCUUGAAUCAUUAUCGUCUUCUUUAUUUCUGCGGAUUUACGCUUGUUAUCUAAAGAUUAAAGAAUGUAAUGAUAUUAUUCUGAUAAAGUCGUAAUAUUAAUUUAUCAGCAGUCACGACAGAAAUGACGAACAGACGAGCGUAUCUUUAUUCUUACAAACAGCUGACGUUUGCUUUCUUUGAAUAGGGUUGCCAUCCGUCCUCUUUUCCCCGGAUCCUGUCUUUUUUUUUUUUUAGAGUAUUUGGGAUUGUUUGGGGAGAUUUUUGAAAGUGUUGAAAAUUUACCCGGAAAAAUUAUGUGCGUCCAAGUUAAAUAUUUUAAUUAUUUAUUUCCUUUAUCGUGUUUUUUUCAAUGGCACAACCACUUAUAUUGAGAGGCUAAGUAACAAUUAAAUAUAAUAAAAUUAAAAUAUUUAAUAGAUUUACAACAAAAUAAUGGUUUAAUUUUUAAUUUCGAAUUUGUAGCUAAUUUUUCUCAUGGAAUUUACAGUCAAUUUAAGAGUGAAUAAUUUGAUUCUUUUUUAUUCUUUCAAGAUUAAAUGUUAUAUCAAUUAAUAUACGAAAAGAAUUAUUAGAUUUAGCUAAUUUUUUCAAUAUAUGAACGUAUACAAUAAUAAAUAAAUAAAUAAAUAAAUAAAUAAAUAAAUAAAUAAAUAAAUAUUUCUCUUCUGUCUUGUUUCUGAUAAAACAUUCGUGAAUUCCACAUUGCAUAAUGUGUGCAUAAUGAAAUUAAAUAAUAUGAUAGAUAAGGCUAUAUGUCCUUUGUGUCAAGUAUUCUGCAGAUUUAUACAUUUUUUAAAACUUAAUUAUUUUACCCUUUAUUUUAAAAAUAGUAUUGCAAAUUCUUUUCUGAAAAUUAGCGUUCCAGAAUUUAAUGAGAAAAUUUUUGUGAAAACAAAUUUAAUUUCUUGCAAUAUAAUUUGUAUCUUUCGUCAGUUGUGCUUUUUAAUUUUCUUUUAUUAAAAUUAUUCAAAUUAAAUCCGUGUAUGUUUCAUUUUUUAUUAUUUUGGACCGAUUUUAUAUUUAAAUCAAGAGUUGACUUCUUUUUAAUACAGACGACCCAAUAAUACAGUUUCAAAUUAUUAUAAAAUUGUACGGUGUAUAUAAUUCUGAUAUAUUGCGAAAAAUUUUUUAAUCAAAACAUUGAGCUUCGCCAUAUGUGUGGCUAAUCCCUUCUUUAAAAUAGAGCUCAUGGUUUCACGUUAUUUCGUACACGCUAGGCACGAGCCGAAGCGCUAGUUUUUUUUUUUUUUUUUUUACGAAUUUUCUCCUCCGAUUCUUAAGAUCAAUCGCUGCUUGCCCCCUCCCACGGUUCGCCGGGCGAUUCAGUACUAUCGGCGACACGCAAGCGGAAGGUCACGCUUCGCGAUCGUGCAUUUUUCUACUUGGUGCCGUGAGAUCUCGUCGUGUUCCUCGCGUCCUCUCGUAGUUUGAGAGAGUUUCCCCAUGGAAGUCAUCAACGGGGAUGUUGAACCGAGCCGACGCCGUUAAUCGUGUCGAGCGCCUGUGUGCGAACGCAAAACAUCGAUUCAUCAGCUGGUGAGUAAAUUUAUUUAUUAUAUUCGCGGAAUUAAUCGGCACGUGACGUCAUCGUCACCUAAUAUCUUAAUCAGAAUUUCAAGUGAUAAGUUCAUUAAAUUAAGAAUCAGUUUUCAAAAUUUUGUUUUUUCAAUUUUUCUAUUUUUUGCAAAUUUUUAAAUAUUUUUUUAAUAUUUUGAUAUUUCUAUAUUUUUGAUAUUUUAAGGGGAUGCUGGAGUGAUGGUAUAAUUUGAUCAAGGUCGAUAAUGUAGAAUCAUUACUAAACAGCUUUAACAAAAUUUUGUAUGUAUUUUUUUUAUAGAUUUCUAAAAUAUUAACUCUGAUCAAUUUGACCAUCACGUUGGUAUUUUCUUAACUGUUUUCAGUAUGUUUAUUAAAGAAUUGUAUGAUAUAUAAUAUUUUUAUUUGCAGCGCUAACGAGGAUUUACCACCUUUAUUGACAAAUCAUGGGCUUUAUUAGUUUUCUGGCAUGACAAACAAUUUGCGACACAUAUGGGACACGAGAGGUAAUGCUGCUACCGCUUUUAAAAUACUUCUUGGUUUAUCCUACUUGCAUUUGGCGUGCUACGUUCAAACUGCGCGCGUGAAGUUAACUACACCGCUGUGUGCGUAGAGUAGCGUGCGAUGACCGGGGGCGCCACUUGCGCGCGACAAGCGGGCACUCGGAGUUAGACACCACUGUUUUUUCAAUAUGGCGGAAGAAGAACGCGCGGGUUUGUGCGUGUAAGGAAUAUGAGUACUUCAACAAAUAAAUCAUGGAAGAAAUACAAGGGAAACCAUGCGUCGUUCAGCCCAUUGACCCACGGAAGGAAAAUAUCGCACGUAAGUGGUAGCCGAUGGAAACUCGUAGAUAACGAGCGAAGGGAGCGAGGGUGAGAGACAUCGCGACAGCACGAGGUAAGUAAACAUACGUUCGCGUCUCAAGAUCAAAGAUCAAUGCCCAUUGGAGUUGAUUUGAAACGCGAGCGCGCAAACAUUAUUAUAUACCUCCGUCGAUUUUACAUACAGUGCUCCGCCGCCAGUACAUGCACUUUGCCUCCUUUCUCCUCUCUAUUUUUUUUGAAUAUCCUUCGGGCGCGUCCCGAUGGGAAUGUGGACGUGAGUGCGUGUUCGCGGGGGGAGAGGGAACGCGAAAAGGGGAGCAGGAUAGAUAGCGCGACGCGGUGCAACUGUAUGUUAAUCGAACGCGCAUCCGAAUACGGAAUAAGAAUGGAAACCGUCUGGUUUAAUAUAGUAUUCUACGUUCCUCGUCACUUCGAUAGGCAUUCACCUCUUCCUUCGUCAUCUGGUUAUCUCUUUCAUAUCCAUGCAUUUCGCGCGCUCACCGUUGUUUCUUUCUUGCUCUGUUGAUUCGAGCAUCGCUGUCGACACUUUAUGAGAAUAGAGAAUAAUCCUUUCUGUAUUUUAUUUUUCAAUCGAGUUUAUCUUCAUAUUCUCUAUAUUUUCAGUUUUCUUUUUAACUCGCAUGCGUAUUGAUAAUUUGUAGACCCCAAAUUUUGUUUAAGCGACGUUAAAAAAAUCGCGCAUACUUUCGUAAUUUACCUCUUAAUAGCACGACAUAUAGCACUCGUUUUAUCGAAAUUAAAAGAAUAUAAUACCAUAAAUUUAUAAAUGUAUUUUCAAUAAUGUAAAUAAUUAUUGGAAAUUCAUUCUUUUACAAUAAUAAAAUAAUUACAUUUUGCUGUCUAUUUUAUAUUUUUAUGAGUAAUAUCGGUAUCGGACAUAUUGAUGUUAUUGAUUGUAUAUAGAAUCAAGAAAUCUUAAGACAUAUGCUGACGUCCAUCAGCGAGCAUCAUUGUGCGCUGUUUAAACCAAUCGCCGUGGAAAACCGAGCGAUAUAAUGUACUGUCGGGGUCUGCGGCGAGAUUCGCUCGCGGGCAAAAGACGCGCCUCAGGUGGUCUCGGGCUCCGUUGCCGUCGUCCGUCGUUCGACGAGCUGACGAGCGAGUUCGCAAUAAAUUGGAAUACGCCAACGCGCCAUCAACCGCGUCUCUUUCUUUCUCUCGAUGACUCCCGGGCCCCGAUAGUCGUUCGAACACGAAUAAUGGUAAGGAGAGGGUGUUCUCUCGAGUCACCUGUCACAGUCGGCAGAUAAACGCGAGAGUACCCGCGAGUCGCCUGCGAGUGCUCACGUUCUUGGUUGCCGGUCUAGUUGAGUCCACCACCGAGUCAUCGAUGGAUCUCUUCUCUCCUUCUCGUGAAGUAAAUCUCGCACCGACAAUCGCGACGGGCGCGAGUUAGGUACGAACUAGAUCCCGCGAAGGAAGCCCAUGGAACACGGUUUCCCGAAGAGAGACUCGCGGACGCUCGGUAAUGUGCGGCGAAUUGAAAGCGAGCUGCGGCGCAGUCGUUAGCCCGACUGACUAGCGAAGUACGUCUCUGAUGUAAGAAUGAAGUGCACGUCAGGAGGGACGUGCCCGCUGCGAUUUCCUGAUGCCGGGAACACGCGCGGUGUCUCCUGCCUUAUUUGAUGGCGGGAGUGAUGCCGGGAUUGAUAGGUGUGCUUUUUUUAUAACGUUGGCGCGUCUCCCUCGGCGCGAACUGUCCUAUAGAAAUUCAAUGUCUGCAAUGGAGAAGGAUAACCGCUGAUUUAAUUUAAUUUUUUUAAUUGGAAGGAUUUGUCUCAGUAAUUGAGGUAUAAUUCGUACAGAAUUCGGUUUGUUAUUAUUUGUCGCGUAUUGAUAUUAAUAUUUACAUUUACGAAUACAAAAUCGUAGUGUAAAGCAGAUUCUGUACAAAUAGAUAACUACAUUAGAAAUGCUACCUCCUCAAGAGAUAUGUAUUUGCGAGCUUAAGUAGAGAAAAUAAUCCCGGAAAUUCGAGUCGAAAGAAACCACUUACGUCGUUGAAAUUGUUUUCACUUUAUUUCGACUGUGGCGGAUAAUAAAUUUUCGUUGGAAACGGAAGUCGUGUGGACGUAGCGGCAAUGUUCUAUAAAAAGGUAAGAGCAGUUCCUCGGGCUUCAGGAAGCAAGAGAUAUAAGAAAAAAAGAAGAGAAAAAAGGGAGGGGAGGAGAGAUGCACCCCUUAAUGGACUCCGUUCCAUAACAGUGUGUCCCGGAGCACCGCGACUACAAGACAGGUUGAGUAGAUCAGCUGAGCGAGUAGGAAAAGAAGUCAAGUGUCGUACAUUAGCGUGAUAAAGAUGCGCCAGAAACGCGCCGCGUGAGGCACGUUCUAUCGAGAGGCCAGAAACCGUGCCACGAAACCUCUCGAUUAGACCUACAUGCGCGGAACGAAGGAGGAAAUAGGAGGAGUAAAAGAGGAAGGAGGAGUAGGAGGAAGAGGAAGAGGUGAAGUAUGACGAGGAGAAAAUCAGCGUAACCGGCUAUGUUCGCCUAGCGUUUCCCUCUUGGCAACCGAGUCGAGUUGCCUCUGCAGGGGUACUUAAAAAAAUCUAGACCACCCAGCGACCCUUUUCCGGAUUGCGUGAAGGGUUGCAUGCCCACGUAGUUCAGUGCAACUAGGUGCUUUACGUUUCGUCGUACUCUUCGCACGUUUACGCGUAAAGUGGACGAACGUCAAAGGAGAAAUGGACUACGAAAGAGAGUAUGUUGAUCUUGGUUGCUUGUUCGUAGUUGCAUAUCACAUUUUCUUUUCUCUUUCUUUCUCCUUCACUCACAUAUGUAUGUAGAUCAUACGACAUAUGGAAGGAAUUAUUCUUAGGGUCAGAGUAGGGUUUUGCGCGAAUGUAAAAGUGCGAAAAGGGACGAGAGGUGCCAUUAGGGCGGGAGUGAGUGUGCGAAAAGAGAGGAGCGCGCGGGGAAGGUAAGGAGAGAAUAAGGGAACAUACCGUGUACAUACGCGCGUUGUCGAGGAGGGUGAGAAAUCGGAGCAAAGGGUAAGGCGGAGGGAGAACGGCACGAUACCGAUGGAAAUGUGAGGAUCGAGGGAGAAUGAGAAAAAGAGACAGCGAACGACAAAGAGGCGUAAGAAGAACGAAAGAUCGGGCGAAGAGAAAGGGGCGAUACUGCAUGCAGAAAUAGGGGUUGACGAGGAGGAAAUCGGGCUGGAGGUUGCAUACGAAGAUGCAUACACGCGGUGCGCACGAGCACUCGCCAGGGCAGUGCACCCUGACGGGUGCAUUGAUCCCUCGUAGGCCGUGCGUAGGUACGCCUUAACUGCUACCCCGUUUUUUUUCUCGCAUCCCUCGCCUCUUGUCCCUUUGGAUUGCACUCCUCUAAUUCUUCGCCUUGCCCCAUGUACUUAUGCGCAGUGCAUCGUCGCGUGCACUCGUAUGCAUGCAUACGCGUAAGCAGAAGCGUGUUCCCUUCUUCGUCUUGGCAAGCGUCACAGGGGUUGGGAAAAAUGUUGGAUUUUUCUCUCGCGCGAGACGACGAUGACGAACGGCGACGUUGUUUUCCGUUUAGCUUGCGUUUCAAAGGGUAACGCGUCGUUACCGUUAAAAAAAAAAUUUGCGGGAAAGAGUUACGAGAACGAAAAAAAUAACUCACAAACGCGAAAAGUGCGUGCGCACGGAAAGUAGGGCGGCAGUGAAACUCGUUAAAAUGAAUAUGCGGUUUAGGUGAAUUGCGUGUAAAACAUGUAAUGUGUAUGAAAGGUUUGAAAAAAAAAAACACGUAUGCGUGAUUUUCUGUUAAUCACCUUGUUGAUCGGCAAAACGUUCUUUAAAAAUAUUGCCUCGAUAAUUAUAUGUAUUUAAGAGUGAUCUUUUAGCACGUAUCUUAAGGUGAUCAUGUAAUCAUAUGUCUUAUAUAACGAUGUCUAGUUAGAAACUGCACGAGUAUUUUCCCCUUUUUCAACAUCACACAGACGCGUAGACGCAUAUUUUGUGCACGGCGUCAGCAGUUAAUAAUGAUGGAGCGUGAAAUGUAACUAUAUGAUAUUGAAUCCGAAAAUUCUCAUUUAUGACAAAAAAUGAAAAUGAUCCUUGCAGAAAUUUUAUUGUGAUUUAUCGGCGCUACGCAUCACUCGGUUGUAGCUCGUAACUUUGCCACCUCGCGUUAAAUCCGUGACAGUGAUAAACUGAUCAGCAAUUGACGUGUGCAACACAAUCGCGUGCACACUCGCGCAUUCGAGGGCGCUUUAAAAUCUUCCGCCAUUACAGAAAAUGUACGACCGGGGCGGAACGCGUGAUAAGCCAGGUUUUCGCAGCUACGUAUCAAUUUGUGAUAUCGAGUUACCUGCAUCGCGGCGGCGCGUCGAAAGCAAUCCUUCACCUCUCGCGUGCAUUUUUCCGUCGGGGCACGCGCCUAUUUCUCGGUGCAUAAAUCAUACACCUUCGCAUUCACCCCUUUCUCGAGGCAGACAGAGGCAGGCGGGAGAAAGAAAGAAAACGAGAGAUCGGAUCGAUUGGCGACCCGCAUGGGAAAAAGCGUGCAAAAACUACGCGUUAAGUCUCGACACGCCUACACAAUGGGGUUUCUCCUCUCCUCGAUGUCUUCGAAAGCAUAUCAUAAAAAUUCGAGCGCGAGCGAGAGAUCGGUCCGUACCUACAUCAUCACUGUCGGCUGUCUCGCGACGAGACGACAGGAGCAGCGCGCCCGUACCCCGAAGAUAAGGAAAUGAAGAGCUGAUAAUUAGAGCGUGGCGCACCACGCCCUCUCUUGAACCGUCCAGGGAUAAUCGUGAUCUCGCUAUAAUAUUCCCGUACGCGUGUACGUGUUGGUGUGAUGGUUGCGUACGUAAAUACGUAUGUGUGCUCGUUUCCGUAUACGUCAACGUGGCGUGCUGUUGCACAAAGUAUGGCGGCCAUGUGGCUCGGUCAACCCCGGUGGUCCACUGCAUUUAGAACGGUACGAGUGGACCCGCUUGUGGACCAGCCGUACAAAGCGUAUAUCGCGAUAACGAGCCUGGGAAUUGUACGCGACGAAUAGAGACCUCUCCGGCUUCCGGCUUUCCACGAGGAUGCUCGCGCGACCUGAAUCAACGGCGUUGGAGAAUGUCUCUCGGGUAAGGACGAUAUUUUGGCACUAAAUUUCCAGCGCGUCCCGAUAACGUUAUUCACGUUAAUAUUUAACCGUCUGGUUUGUGUUUAGUUUUUUCCCGCGCUGUAAAGAAAAAAACAACGGGCACAGAAAUAGCUUGAGAGCACUUUAUUUCAAUUUGAUUAAAAUUGCAGCUCUAAUUUAUGAUUCUCAAUAUUUUUCAAUAAUUAAUACGUAUUGUUUAAUAAAUUAA